RNAcentral lists this unclassified non-coding RNA (206 nucleotides) under Hevea brasiliensis (rubber tree). Lineage: Eukaryota; Viridiplantae; Streptophyta; Magnoliopsida; Malpighiales; Euphorbiaceae. The record is from RNAcentral.
AUAAGUUUCACACAAUAGAUGUUAACGCACAAACCGGCAAUGGUAUUCCAUUGAUUUCCAUCGCAAGGUACAGUAAGCAAUUUUCACGCCUUUCAAAUAAGUUGAAGGCAAAAACAAAAUACAAAAUAUUGAAUGAGCCAAAAAAAACAAAAAAGCCCUCUGGGCACAUCAUGCCUAAUUGGUAUUUCAUCAUAAACCACAGUUAU